Benincasa hispida (wax gourd) is the source of this 686-nucleotide non-coding RNA. The record is from RefSeq and is a predicted model, not a curated record. Lineage: Eukaryota; Viridiplantae; Streptophyta; Magnoliopsida; Cucurbitales; Cucurbitaceae.
CCGUGUCCGAGCCACGAGUCCUUUCGCCGCUCGACUCGUCACGCCACCGCCUGCACCAGCGGCAACCCUGAGCAUUCCCCCUUUUCUCUUCAGCUCGUCGCCGACUGGAACCUCCACCAGCCAGCCACGUCUAUCCGGUUCCGCCCAGCUCCGGUCGCCAACGUCGUUGCUUGUGCCGUCAUCAGAUUUAUCAACUUGGGUAUUAAGGUGCUAUUAGGUGAAGUUGGAAUUGCUUUAGCGGAUUUGGUGCGUCUCAUAUCACACCUUAGGGUCUUACUUGGAGUUGCUGGUUUCAUUGGCUGUCUGAGUUUAUCUGCGGAUUUUCGAUUUAGGUAAAGUAGGGUGGAUUCAAAGCCUUCCAAGAGUUGUAAGAGGGUUAAUUACUUGGAUUAAAUUGUGACCAAAUUUAAGGUAUGUAAUCUUACUAUUAGAAUUACCCACGGGCCAGUCACUGGAUGUAUGACAGCAUGAUGAACUGAUAGUUUAGUAUAUGUUACGGUAGAAUGACAGCAUGAUGAACUGAUAAUUUAGUAUAACCGUUGUACGUUUUUGCUCGAGGAUAUGAAAGAUAUUUGUGCACAUGGAUGCUUGAAUGCUAGCAUGAGAUGAUAUUUGAUUCCAUGAGGUUGUAUGUGAUCUGUGAAUAUUGAGGCAUGUGUGUUUUUUGUAGAGCCAUGAUGUUGAAG